UAACGGCGAGUGAACAGGGAAAAGCCCAAAUUUGUAAUCUGGCACUUUUUACAAGUGUCCGAGUUGUAAUUUGUAGAGCUGUUAUCCGUACUGGACCAUGUACAAGUCUGUUGAAAAGCAGCAUCAUUGAAGGUGAAAAUCCUGUAGAUGAUAUGGACUACCAGUAUAUUUGUGAUACGGUUUCUAAGAGUCGAGUUGUUUGGGAAUGCAGCUCAAAGUGGGUGGUAAAUUCCAUCUAAGGCUAAAUAUAAGUGAGAGACCGAUAGCAAACAAGUACCGUGAGGGAAAGAUGAAAAGAACUUUGAAAAUAGAGUUAACAGUACGUGAAAUUGCUGAAAGGGAAACGUUUGAAGUUAGUUUUGUAUUCGUUGGAUCAGCUUCGCAAGGAGUGUAUUCUGAUGAUAAGCAAGUCAACAUCAGUCUAUGAGUGUUGGAUAAGGGUUUUGAGAAUGUAGCAAUUUAAUUGUGUUAUAGCUUGAGACUUGGAUACGAUGCUUUGGAUUGAGGAACGCGUAGUAAGCUUUGAGCGGAUUCGAAAGGAUCUCCUUACUAUGGAUGUUGGAGAAAUAACUUUAAGCGACCCGUCUU
RNAcentral lists this ribosomal RNA (588 nucleotides) under Melampsora sp. HMAS 82376. RNAcentral's name for it is "eukaryotic LSU rRNA". It matches the Rfam family "Eukaryotic large subunit ribosomal RNA", at positions 84 to 655 of the family's 3401-position model. Lineage: Eukaryota; Fungi; Basidiomycota; Pucciniomycetes; Pucciniales; Melampsoraceae. The record is from RNAcentral.